This 216-nucleotide long non-coding RNA is filed under the name Manihot esculenta (cassava). RNAcentral describes it as "long non-coding RNA (MESC_LNC012900)". Lineage: Eukaryota; Viridiplantae; Streptophyta; Magnoliopsida; Malpighiales; Euphorbiaceae. The record is from RNAcentral.
GAGCAAAAACGGCUAGGAUCCCUGAAACACAGCCCGUAUAAGGCUCGUCAAGAAAGCAAGAAAUUAAGUAUUGACUUCACAGUGAGGAAGAUGAAAUUCCGAACUCCUGAGCCCGUCACACAGAUAGCGCAAAAGCUGUAGCGCAAAAGCCUAAGCAAAGAACAAAAAUCCGAGCUCCUUAAUCCGCUGAAUGGACGGACUCACGACAAAAGCAAG